RNAcentral lists this ribosomal RNA (113 nucleotides) under Pseudomonas putida. RNAcentral's name for it is "partial 23S ribosomal RNA". The stretch from base 1 to 96 matches the Rfam family "Bacterial large subunit ribosomal RNA", at positions 2830 to 2925 of the family's 2925-position model. Lineage: Bacteria; Pseudomonadati; Pseudomonadota; Gammaproteobacteria; Pseudomonadales; Pseudomonadaceae. The record is from RNAcentral.
GAGGGCCGUCGAAGACUACGACGUUGAUAGGUUGGGUGUGUAAGCGCUGUGAGGCGUUGAGCUAACCAAUACUAAUUGCCCGUGAGGCUUGACCAUAUAACACCCAAGCAAUU